This 1266-nucleotide ribosomal RNA is filed under the name Campylobacter jejuni. RNAcentral's name for it is "bacterial SSU rRNA". It matches the Rfam family "Bacterial small subunit ribosomal RNA", at positions 55 to 1332 of the family's 1533-position model. The record is from RNAcentral. Lineage: Bacteria; Pseudomonadati; Campylobacterota; Epsilonproteobacteria; Campylobacterales; Campylobacteraceae.
AUGCAAGUCGAACGAUGAAGCUUCUAGCUUUGCUAGAAGUGGAUUAGUGGCGCACGGGUGAGUAAGGUAUAGAUAAAUCUGCCCUACACAAGAGGACGACAGUUGGAAACGACUGCUAAUACUCUAUACUCCUGCUUAACACAAGUUUGAGUAGGGAAAGUUUUUCGGUGUAGGAUGAGACUAUAUAGUAUCAGCUAGUUGGUAAGGUAAUGGCUUACCAAGGCUAUGACGCUUAACUGGUCUGAGAGGAUGAUCAGUCACACUGGAACUGAGACACGGUCCAGACUCCUACGGGAGGCAGCAGUAGGGAAUAUUGCGCAAUGGGGGAAACCCUGACGCAGCAACGCCGCGUGGAGGAUGACACUUUUCGGAGCGUAAACUCCUUUUCUUAGGGAAGAAUUCUGACGGUACCUAAGGAAUAAGCACCGGCUAACUCCGUGCCAGCAGCCGCGGUAAUACGGAGGGUGCAAGCGUUACUCGGAAUCACUGGGCGUAAAGGGCGCGUAGGCGGAUUAUCAAGUCUCUUGUGAAAUCUAAUGGCUUAACCAUUAAACUGCUUGGGAAACUGAUAGUCUAGAGUGAGGGAGAGGCAGAUGGAAUUGGUGGUGUAGGGGUAAAAUCCGUAGAUAUCACCAAGAAUACCCAUUGCGAAGGCGAUCUGCUGGAACUCAACUGACGCUAAGGCGCGAAAGCGUGGGGAGCAAACAGGAUUAGAUACCCUGGUAGUCCACGCCCUAAACGAUGUACACUAGUUGUUGGGGUGCUAGUCAUCUCAGUAAUGCAGCUAACGCAUUAAGUGUACCGCCUGGGGAGUACGGUCGCAAGAUUAAAACUCAAAGGAAUAGACGGGGACCCGCACAAGCGGUGGAGCAUGUGGUUUAAUUCGAAGAUACGCGAAGAACCUUACCUGGGCUUGAUAUCCUAAGAACCUUUUAGAGAUAAGAGGGUGCUAGCUUGCUAGAACUUAGAGACAGGUGCUGCACGGCUGUCGUCAGCUCGUGUCGUGAGAUGUUGGGUUAAGUCCCGCAACGAGCGCAACCCACGUAUUUAGUUGCUAACGGUUCGGCCGAGCACUCUAAAUAGACUGCCUUCGUAAGGAGGAGGAAGGUGUGGACGACGUCAAGUCAUCAUGGCCCUUAUGCCCAGGGCGACACACGUGCUACAAUGGCAUAUACAAUGAGACGCAAUACCGCGAGGUGGAGCAAAUCUAUAAAAUAUGUCCCAGUUCGGAUUGUUCUCUGCAACUCGAGAGCAUGAAGCCGGAAU